This is a non-coding RNA of Caretta caretta (loggerhead turtle), 2078 nucleotides long. The record is from RefSeq and is a predicted model, not a curated record. Lineage: Eukaryota; Metazoa; Chordata; Testudines; Cheloniidae.
GCUGGCUCCCUGCACCAGGCCCCAGGGGCAGGACGGAGCAGUGAGGGGCCUGGGAGAGGAAUGUGCAGCUGGGGCUGGGUGGGAGUGCAGGAGACAGAUGGGGUGAGAGCUGGGUGGCAGCCCCAUGCUGGUGCCACCCAGCCUGACAGCCCCUCCAGGAGCCACCCCGCAGUCAGCCCCCCACUGGCGUCAUCCUGGUUCCGUCUCUUUCUGCUUCCCCAGAACCUCCCCGUGACGGCUCCUGCCCUGACGCGCUGGUUCCUCGGGGGGCCUCCCACCAGCCUUGCGGUUUCGUAGCUUUCCUCGCCUCCUGGCUUCCCCCGGUCUUAUCUCGCCCCAGCAUCCGCGGCAGCAGCAGGGCCCCGCGCCAUGGCACAGCGGAACCGAGAGAUGAGCAAGAGUGGAGAAGCCGUAGGAGGAUCUGAAAUGGCCCCAGGUGCGGAAGGCUCCUGGGAGAGGAUGGGUUGUUGGGAUGCCGCUCUGGUGGAUCAGAGCCCACGUCCCGCUCGUCCAGUCUCUGACAAGGACCAGUGCCAGAUUAGUCAGAGCAAGGUGCAAGAAACCUCCUCUGCCCUAGUGUUCGAGAUUAGCUAAAAACCUAACAUUUAAUCACUUCCCAAACAUACCUGAGCAUAAACUCCAGCUGGUUGUGUGACCCCCGCUACAAUGUGUUCAAUGUUUCUUUGAACCUUACUCCAUUCUUGACUUCUGGGACAUCAUGUGGCAAGGAGUUCCACAGGCUAAUUACACAGUGACAUGCGGGAGAGGGAGUAUUUCUCUAUUUUUUGUAUUUGCCAUCUUUUAGCUUGAAGGAUUAUGUCCCUUCUCUCCCCCUGAUUUCCUCCAAGGAUGUGAAUGGAAGCAACAGGGAGGUGCUCUCACCCAGCAGACCCAGCUCAAUGCUGCUGCUAACGUGACCAGCCAUGAAGCACUUACUCCUAACACUGGCUAAGGCCUUGCCCCCAAAGCUGGUUUCACCCACCCAGGGCUCAGGGCACAUUUGGGAGCCUGAGCUGCCACCAUUAGGCUCCCGAUUCACCACCCCAAGAAAGCCCCAGGUCGCAUGCCCCAUUCUCCCUGGCCCAGGAGAGAGAAUGAACCCUGCCCUAAGCAGCAUGACUCAAGCUGUCCAGUGCAGCUGGAAGGUGCUCCCCUGCUGAGGACUGGAAAGCCCCUGUACUGGGGAGAAGGGCUGGUCCCUGCUGAGACCAUGGGCUGAUGCCCAGCACCAUAGUGGUAGGCAGCUUUCUGAAGACUUACAAAGCAUCUCCCAGCAGGGCAGGGUCCUAUCCGCCUGAGUGCAGCAUAGCAAUGGCCCAGUCCUCAGUGCCUCAGGCCGGGCAGAGGGUCCGCUUCCAGCCAGGCCCCUAGGCCACGGAAAGCUGGUGCUUAAGCCUACUCCUUUAGCUGUCACCAGGGAAUGAGCCUGGACAGCAUCAUGCACCAUCCUAGAAGCAUCGGAUACACCAACCUCUCUUCCCUCCAGCAGGAGCAGAGGCCCCGACUUGGUGCCGUAGGAGAGACAUUCGUCAUGGUCAGAACCCUCUAAACCACACUCCAGCUGCUUUCAACAAACUGAAAGGAAAAUUAGCCAGUCUGACAUUUCUAACAAGCCUUCAGCCCAUAGGAUUCCAAAGCAUGGUGUCCAGCAUCUAACUUUGCACCUACCACGGAAAUACAGCCAAUUCAGGGGAGGAUAAGUCAUAUAGCCGUGGACUGCAACAGCUUAAGGCAGGGAAUCUCCUAUGCAAACUCUGUGACGAUGUGACUCAGCAGGGAGGGGGGAGUGUUGACCUGGGAAUGUGCCCUGGGGAGGGGAGACCUGAGAGCCUGUCACCUGAGCCAGGAGGGGGAGGGGGAGGUGACACCUCUGCCCGGGAAUGUGGACGGAGGCUGCAGCAGGGAACCUGCUGGGGGGUUUAGUUUCAGUUUGGGGCUGGGUGGAGGAACGCAGGCAGCCCCAGGGCUGGGGUCUAAGCUCCCUGCUCCCCCAGAAGGACUCGACUGAGGGGUCCUGGGUGUACCCACAAGCUCUGUUUUGGACUGUGUUCCUGUUGUCCAAUAAACCUUCUGUUUUA